AAUAAUUAUUUUGAUGUUGACCGACCGAGUACGAAUUUUGGCAGUCGGUGCACAUAAAAAGUUACAAAGUCUCAAAUUAUUCAAAGUUGGAUAUCAAUCCGAAAGUUGGUCGGCACUUCUGUAAAAAAAAACAGCGCUCCAGAUUAGUCUGUGCAAAAACAGUGUUUGUUCGGUUUCGGUAGGUACUAAUCUGAAGGAAGGAUAAGUGCCGGGUGGGUUGGAUUUGCAUGUCGUUUUCCUUGAUGUACGAUUUGAUUUGUGACUUUUGACCAGUAGGGAAUAUGUCAUUUCCUUCAAAAACUGAACGGGAGAAAUGUUGGACUUCCCGUGACGAGUUGUGGAAAUGUCUUGACCAAAAUAAAGCUGACCCCCAAAGUGCGUGUGCUCAGCUUAGAACAAUUUAUGAAAGCUCUUGUCCGUCUCAAUGGGUGAAACACUUUGAUAGGAAACGAGAGUACCUCAAAUUUAAGGACAGAAUUCAAAAUGAUGGUUUCGAACCCUUGGACCGGAUUCCUAAGUCAGUUUGACAGUUAGACUUAAAUACGAUUGCAGUCAAUAAUCCAUAAAUAAUCAAAAAUGAACGAAAUUGUGUGAUCAUUAAACAUAACGAAAAAUUGAUUACGCAGCUAUGAUAAAUGUAAUGAACUAACUAAUAAUAAUGAUAUGAGUAGUGAGACACGUUUUUUUUAUAAAAUGCUUUCAUAGCAUUUAUGUAUGUGGCCGUGUAAGGCAAAAAUUUCGGGUAGGCAAUACUUUACCGAGAAUAAAUAUUCACAAAUCCCUUCUUAAUCCAAUAUAAUAUAUAAUAUCCUUUUGCCAAUUUGUAAAUUACUAGAUAGAAGGCUUUUCAGAUUUGUAAAAUAAUAGGAACACAUUAAAUGAGAUAUUUUGAAUUAAUAUAACAAUGUCAGCAGUAGAAAACUCAAUCAAAAGAAAUAAAACAAGUGGAACUAGUCACAAACCGAA
This is a long non-coding RNA of Folsomia candida, 966 nucleotides long. RefSeq lists it as uncharacterized. The transcript has 3 exons. The record is from RefSeq and is a predicted model, not a curated record. NCBI's taxonomy places the organism in Eukaryota, Metazoa, Arthropoda, Collembola, Entomobryomorpha, Isotomidae.